GCUCAGAGCGAACGCUGGCGGCAGGCUUAACACAUGCAAGUCGAGCGGGCGUAGCAAUACGUCAGCGGCAGACGGGUGAGUAACGCGUGGGAACGUACCUUUUGGUUCGGAACAACACAGGGAAACUUGUGCUAAUACCGGAUAAGCCCUUACGGGGAAAGAUUUAUCGCCGAAAGAUCGGCCCGCGUCUGAUUAGCUAGUUGGUAGGGUAACGGCCUACCAAGGCGACGAUCAGUAGCUGGUCUGAGAGGAUGAUCAGCCACAUUGGGACUGAGACACGGCCCAAACUCCUACGGGAGGCAGCAGUGGGGAAUAUUGGACAAUGGGGGCAACCCUGAUCCAGCCAUGCCGCGUGAGUGAUGAAGGCCCUAGGGUUGUAAAGCUCUUUUGUGCGGGAA
This 398-nucleotide ribosomal RNA is filed under the name Bradyrhizobium sp. R-37825. RNAcentral's name for it is "bacterial SSU rRNA". It matches the Rfam family "Bacterial small subunit ribosomal RNA", at positions 22 to 446 of the family's 1533-position model. The record is from RNAcentral. Lineage: Bacteria; Pseudomonadati; Pseudomonadota; Alphaproteobacteria; Hyphomicrobiales; Nitrobacteraceae.